This 1274-nucleotide long non-coding RNA is filed under the name Monodelphis domestica (gray short-tailed opossum). RNAcentral's name for it is "lncRNA (ENSMODG00000035067.2)". The record is from RNAcentral. Lineage: Eukaryota; Metazoa; Chordata; Mammalia; Didelphimorphia; Didelphidae.
GGAGGAAAUAGAGAGCCUCAGAUUAGACCUGAGCCUGUAAAGUAGAUAUGGUACCUCCCAUCCUAGUCAUGAGGAUCAAAGGAGGGCAUGGUUUGUGAAGUGCUUUGCAGACUAAGUGGGAGAUUAGCAUCAGCUGUUAAAUUAGUAUUCAGUCAUUCUCUAUUCUGAUGGCUACGGUGAGCCAUUGACUCAAAAGAACUUAAAUAGGAAGCUGGAAGGGGCUGUAGAAGCUAUCUAGGUUAGCCUCAUUUUACAGAUCACAAAACCAGGCGCCAAUGAAAGGAAAUGACUUUUCUAAGGUCAUACAGAUGGGAAGCAACAGAGUGCAUUCUGGAAAAUGAGGCACUAAGUGUGGACAAGUAGCUCAAGUCAGUGGGAAUCAGAUCCCUGCAUGAUAAAUGACUUCUGUGCCUGGAAUGGGGACUCCAGAACCCUACCUGGGGGAGAAGGGCUACGCCAGGUCUUUUGGCUUCAAAGGCAAUGAAUGUCCUUUUCAUCUGUAUUAUUUGAAGGAAUGGAUCAGGGGCUGCAUCUAAGAUUUUAUAAGUUUGAGAAACCUCCAGAAAGAAGACUGGAGAGCAUCUGAGGACACAAGGCAAGGCUGUCAGAGAACGGAGGCACCGAAGGAAAUGCUGCAGGAGUGGCCGGAAAGAAACUGAGUAAACAGGGUGAGGCAUCUCCCCUGCAGCUGAAGCAGACAGGAGAGUUAGGAGAUGACAGUCAGAAGCCCUGGCUCAGCCAGGGAGAUAGGUAAGAGGGCACCUGGCUACCUGGGAUCAACUCAAGUCCUAGAGCUCUACAUGAACUGCUUUCCAGGGUACUGAAAGAAUUGACAAGCCAUUGUCAAUAAUCCUUGAAAGAUGCUGGGGAAUGGGAGAAAUAGAGAGAAGGUAGCUUGAAACCAUUCAGGCCAGUGGGCUUGAUUUCCAUUCAGUACCAGAAUACAGAACUUGUCUAUAAAAUCGUGCAUCUACUGAGCAUUUCCCAGGGAAAUAGUGAUUACCGAUACCAAUGGAUCCCAUCAGAUUGGGAAGUUACUUAAGACACAGAGAGUUCAAGGCAUACCAUUACUCAGUAUCUGAGGCACAAUUUUCAUAAUCUCCCUAUUUUCAAGGUCUCCUGAAUUCCACAUCCAGCUCUCUGCCCACCAGGUACUUCUGCUUAUCUUUCUUUCUUUUUUGUUGUUGUUUGUUUGUUUUUCAGACUGUUUAUAAACUGAAAUGUUCUAUGGUAUGUAGCAGCCUAGAGUAGUAGAGAAUAUACUGGUUCUGCCC